This 5963-nucleotide unclassified non-coding RNA is filed under the name Leishmania donovani. Its description in RNAcentral is "gene:LdHU3.02.0490(CDS-product:hypothetical_prote in_conserved)". Lineage: Eukaryota; Euglenozoa; Kinetoplastea; Trypanosomatida; Trypanosomatidae. The record is from RNAcentral.
UCUCGCUCACUGGCGACGCGCACACCCACGCACAUGGAAGCAUCGCCCACGCGCGACUUCUCUACUCCAACGUCUCAACGCUUGUGCGGGUACUUACAACCCUCCUCCCUCUGCGCGACUUCUCUGCUCGAACGCUACGCUUCGUUUCUUUUAGUCCAGCCUUGAUUUCGCUUCUCUGCGUCGUUCGGCGUACACGCAACACGCACAACUCCCACGCCGCUUUCCGUUGGCUCUCAACGUUGCCCAACAGCAGGGAUAAGCGAUGCUGAUGCUUGAUUAAGGACGCCAUCACAACAGAAACAGCACGUUAACAUAAAAAAAGCAAGCAGAAGGGGGCUGCAUCUACAACACUGCCGCGGCACACGAAGCAUGUGCACUCGUUGUCAGCACUGCACCGUUUUUAUCACCCUCUCUCCGUCUUUACUCGUCUCUCUCUCUGUGCGUGUGUGUGUGUGUGACGGCCUUGUGGUCCCCCUCCCCCCCUCUCCCGAACCCCCCUUGAAUCCUUCAUCACACCCCUCGCCGGCGCUUUCCCUACAACGUGUGGCUCUUCCUUCUCUUCUUUCUCUGUCGCACGUGGGCUCUGUCUGGAGCGCAACUCGGCUACUGUGUUGGUGUGCAGGCUGUGCCCCACUUGCCGGGCUUCGUCUCUAAGCGUGCGAGGGAGCGCUAUGGGAGUGGUGCCGGUGAAGCGUCGGGGUGGCUUCCGCCGCGAUGAGGACCGUCGACUGCGACUGUCGCGCCGAUGUGGGGCGACGGUGGCUGUGGUCAUGGUCUUCCUGCGUCUUUUCAGUCACACGAGCCCAGCCGCACACGCCUUCAACGUCUGCGCGGACAUCAGCCGCUGUAGCGAGUGUGUCUUCGACCAAACCGAUGGGCUCAUGCCACCGCCCCUGAUGUGCGGUUGGUGCGAGAGCACGCAGACGUGCAAGGAGGUUAACAGCACGGUGCUGUCUUACUACCGAACCACCCCCGCUACCGGCGGCGCUGGCGGUGCAGGCGACGCAGAGGUGGAGCACACCCCAGAUGAAAUCGCCGCGUUCCGUGAGCAGUUCUGCGCGGAUUUUCGCGAGCGCAACUUCAACGCGGUGUGCCCCGACAUGUUCUGCACCGCCUCGAAGACGACGAACAAUAUCUACAUCUGCCGCGCGCCGUCCAUCGCUGCGCUCGUGCUCGGCUGCAUCUUGUUUGUUCUCUCCAUCCUCCUGUACACGUGGAUGCAGACCAUUCACCAACUGCCGUGGAAGUACGAGCCGUUCCUGUCCGACCUCCUCGCCGGUCGGCCCAGGCCUCCUGACCCGGCGGGCGACGACGGCGACACCGAGGCUAUCGUCGACGACUGCCGCGACACGGCCGCGGUGCCAGACAUCAAUCCGCCGCCCUCAGUGCAGAGGGGGGAUAGCGCCGCCUCGCCGUUUCGCGAUCGCGACGGCGGCACCGAGGAUUUCGGAGAGCGCGGCGGUGAUGACGGUGGUGAGGGGGUAUCAUCAAGCCCGACCGCGCAGCGGCAGCAGCAGCAGCAGCCGGGGCAGCAUGCCCUUCUCCAUCGCGCCGCGCCGAUCGUGACGACGACAGCGGCAACCGGCUACUGCCCAAUCUGCCGAUGCCGCCAUCCCGUCCCCCUUGGCCCGGGCGACGUCUGUUUCUGGUGCAACGUCGCCCGCUUCGCCUUUGUGCCCGUCUCUCUGGCCCUCCUCAGCUCGUCCAUCGUCAUCGUCCUCAGCUUCGCCGUGUCGCUGAAGCCGUGGUUCGCCGAUAUUUACUUUACCGAGGUGCUCGUCGCGGCGUACCUUUCCUUCGGCGGCUUCGUCUGGUACGUUGUGCGUUACCGCCGCCGCGCGCCGCUCUUCUGCUUCGAGACGGAGGAGGAGCGCGAGGCGAAGGAGGAGGUGUGGUCCUCAACGCGGCACCGACGGCCCACCUCGCGGUUGCCGUCGGCAGCCGCCGGCCCCGCGUCCGUCAUUGGCAGCGCAUCCGAGGUGGAGAGGGAGAGCAUGCCUUCGCCACUGCACUCGCAGAGCGUGAGGCUGCAGCUCUUGAACGACGCGCGACACAACAUGGCCAGCACCACAUAUCUGAGACUGGCACUGCGGCUGCGUGGGCGGUCGUUGCUCGACCAGAUCCCGGAGUUGAAGAAGUACCGUGCGCAAAUUGCAUCGAUGCACCUCGCACCAGCCACCCUGACGAAGGUUGGCGGUGUUUUGGCGGCGAUGUGCACGCCCACGGCUGCCACGAUGGCGGGAUCUGGCGCGUACGGCGGAGAUGCGGGUACUACAGCGCCCACCACAGCCACCGCCGCUGCCACCAGGGCUGUGGCUGCUGCGGGUGCCUCCAUGACAGCCGUGACGAGGGCCGACGUGGACGCCACCGCGGCAACGCUCACAGCGUCUAUGCCGUCGUGCUUGUCCUUACCAUUUCAGCAGACGCGUCUGCCGCAGCACCCAACGCCGCUGCCGUCGGCAGUUGCGGCCGCGGCCGUGGAAAGCACCGAUACGGCGAGUGUCGUGGCAGCGUCCACGCUCCCUUCCGAUGCCCAAACAUCCCCGGCUGCAGCUGCUGGAUCCGCUUCGGCGGCCGUUGCGACGAGCGCGGCGGCCGCGACGCCGAUGCCGCUGGCGACGACGCUGCCCGAUGGAGUGGCUCGUCAGAAGCGGGCCGAGACGGCCCAGCUGCUCAGCUCCGACUUUCUCUCCCCGCCGUACCGCAAAGCCCUUAAGGCGACCCUCUUCAGGGACGAGCUCAUCAUGUGGUACUCCGAGCCGCGGCUGCGCAGCGUGCUGAUGGAGAACAAGUGGCUGCUGCUGGACUUGCUCGCGGGCCUCCUCUUUGGCAUCUGGAUGCUGAUGCUGUCCUCGGUGAGCGACAACACCUUCGCUAUUGUGCGGCUGAGCGGCUCGACAGCCGUGGCGGCGUGCGGCCUGGUCGUUGUGCUUGGUUUUGCGCUGCUGCUCGUCGUGGUCGUCCGCAGCUGCAGGCGACUCUACGUGCUCACGGACGAGCGGCUUAUCACAGUGUACGAGAGCAUCAUCGAACCGGUGGUGACCGCGACAGACCUGAGUAGCGUCCGCUUCGCCGCCCUGUACGGCUACCACAGCAUCUGGGCCCGCGAGCCGGUGCUCGACUUCUCCUGGGAGGUCCCUGCGACAGAGCGCAAGAUGCCGGCCAUCAAGAGCCACAAGUUCUCGGGCAUCACGGAUCUGCACGAGUUUCUGUACUACUUCCGCAUGGUGGCGCCGCAGAUGCCAUUCCACCUGCAGCAGAUUUCGGAGUCGACGCGACAGGACCGCACCGAGUGGCGCAUGCACGUCAUCCUGUGCAUCGGCUUGUUUGUUGCACUGCCCAUCAUCACGGUGUACCCGCAUGCGGUGCCGGACUUCCUCGCCGCCUACCUCUACGUGGUGGCGCUGCUGCUCAUCGGCUCGACGCUGCUGCGCGGACUGCGGGCACAGCAGAUGACAUGUGCGCCGCUGAACAUUGCCGCGUCGUGGGCUCCGGUCCCGGCGCGGAACGAGAUGGACGGCGCAGAGCCGUUGCAGCCGCUGCCGCCGUCGGUGGUGACACAUGCACCGGACGGGUGCUCAGCGCCCAAGACAACGCCGUCCAGCUUUGGGGGCCACGAAGGGGCCGCAGGAGUUCUGCACAGCGUCAGCGUCACCGACAUCCGUGCCGAUAUGGAGCCCGAGCGGCAGAAAAGACCCCGCCUUUGUGUGACUGGGCACCGCUGGCAGUGAUGCGACGGCCACUGCGUCGAUGGCGCGCGUAUGCCGGAAAGCCUUGCGUCCGCCGUAGCUGCUGAUACCAUCGUUGACGCCACGGGUGGCUGACUUCGUGGGUUGUGCCGGGGGCGGCGCUAGGCUCGCGGGGACCGUGGCCAGCGUAACGGUGUCCUGCCCUUGGCCUAUCGCCGGGAAGGGUGGCAAGGCGGCGCUGCGGGGGGGGCACAACAACAAUCGCGGAGGGUUGUGGAGGGGCGCACGCAGGAUGGGCGCUGGCCGCUUCGUGCCUCGAUGCACGCCUCGAAAGCUGACUUCGUCUCCACCACUCGCUGGAGCCAGAGCCGCGCCGCUGUCUGCGACCGCUGGCAGCCGGAUGCGGGCUACGCCGGCAUCGGCCAGCACCAGUCCAGCAAACUGACCUACGACGGCAGCAAGCACGCCAUCCACGGAUGGUGUGCACGGGCCACCUACAUCUGCCCCCACCCCACCAUCGCUGGUUCCGACAGACAGAGCCAUGGCGGCUGUGAGAGUCGGCCCCAGUGCCCGCUCGCGCGGUUUACGCAUCGCGGCACUAGCGCACGGCAGCGGCAGGGGAGGGGUGGCGGCUGCCAACAGCGGUGGGGCCCUCGUGUUCGACGCCGCCCCUCGACCCGCAUCUUUCUUUUUCCGUGCUCGUCACCAGCGCUCUUCGCCCCCUUCUCGUUUAGGGCGUUACAGGAGGCCUCUCUUCCCCUCCCUUCCCCUCUCUUCGCUCUUGCUCUGCCAGUGCACUGUCCAGAUUAAUGGACGGAUGCCUGCGCCAUUUUCUGUUCUCUUCCACUUUUCACUUGUGUCGCUAAGGAGGGAGAGGGGGGGGGGUGCGGUCUGCUGGCUCACGCGUGCGCGUUGGCCGCUGGCAUGGCUCUCUGUUGCCUCCACACCACACUCCACGGCCCUCCUCCGCUGUAGCUGAGUGAUCCAGUCGGCCACCACCGUCCGCCAGCCACUUCUCUGUCCGUGAAAGGUACUCUCCUCACGCUAGUUGGACAGCCGCGAGGUCGAAUCUCCGCUUGCUCUCCUGUGUCUGUGUGUCUGCCGUUUGAGGGCUUCCCGCCUCGCUGUCGACGCCGGCCUUUUCCCUUCACAUGCCAUUCUUUCUAUGCUGCCGUCCAUGCGACUGUCACACCUCUUUCUUUCCACCCACGCAUGCAGUUGCGGCAAGAGAGUUCACAUCCGCCGAAGCGCGGCAGCGGCAUCGCCCUGCUCGCGGAUAGGGCUCGUAGGCGUGUCCUCGCCUCACAUCCUCACCGGCGAACGCGAGGCACAGAGGCAGGCACUAGUGCGCAUCCUUGUGUGCUUCCAUAGACAUGUACGCAUUCCUUAAGCCGCGUUUGUGUUUUCGUAUGACGGAGGCGCGCACGCUGGAGCGAGUCGAGGCGACGCGGAGAGCAGCGGAAAGCCCACCCCUCCCUCCCACAAAGACGAACAAGCGACAGCGCAGAUGGUUUUCGGCAACGCCGGGGAGGACGUGAUGGCGGGAUGAAGGAGAUUGUGUGUGUGCGGGUGUGGGGCUGAGGGGGGGGCGUCGCUGCUGUGUUUCGCUUUUCUUGCCCCAUCGACUCCGUGCGCCUCUCCAUCCCUUUGGAGGUGGGCAGGACGGCGCCCCUUCCCGUGAGCUCUGCUCGCUCAUAUCUCGUUGAGGACGUAAUCCUUACCGCGGCGAUGAAGCGCACCCAUCGGGGGUGCGCACGUACGCAUCGCCUGCACGUUAUCGGCAUACGUGCUGGUGCUUGCAGCUCCGUCGCUCGUAGCGGUGAGAGGCUGAGCCACUGUGGAUGGUAUUUCUCAUGUGUGUGUGCUUGUCUGGAGGUGGAGGCGAAGGUGUUCGUGUGCGCGUUCACGCGCGUGCCGAAGGGCUCAUGAGCAGGGGGCUGCUCUUGUUUGGGUUUUGUUUCGGACCGCCGGUAACGCGAGGGGGUGCGCGGGGAAGGCGCUUCGCGCUGCACUGCACUUCUCUCUCUCUGUGCGUGCUGCUGCUGCUGUUGCCGUGCCCUUCAUCGUCAGGGCGUGGGGUGGGUGCUGCCCGUUUGCCUGUCUGCCUCGACGGUAGACGGGGCACUCAUUCUCUUUCCUACGGGCGUUUCGUUGCGGGUCUCGCCGGCGUGCGCUGUGCCACACGUGCUGGGCCACGCAGCUAUGCGGCUCGCUUCUAACGAUGUCUUCCUAAAGGUAACUCGCCCGAGCAACAACAACAGCGCACGGCAACCG